GUAAUACAUCGGAACGUACCCAGUAGUGGGGGGUAACGUAGCGAAAGCUACGCUAAUACCGCAUACGAACUACGGUUGAAAGCGGGGGAUCGCAAGACCUCGCGCUAUUGGAGCGGCCGAUGGCAGAUUAGCUAGUUGGUAGGGUAAAAGCCUACCAAGGCGACGAUCUGUAGCUGGUCUGAGAGGACGACCAGCCACACUGGGACUGAGACACGGCCCAGACUCCUACGGGAGGCAGCAGUGGGGAAUUUUGGACAAUGGGGGAAACCCUGAUCCAGCAAUGCCGCGUGUGUGAAGAAGGCCUUCGGGUUGUAAAGCACUUUUGGCAGGAACGAAACGGCUUGGGUUAAUACCUCGGGCUAAUGACGGUACCUGCAGAAUAAGCACCGGCUAACUACGUGCCAGCAGCCGCGGUAAUACGUAGGGUGCAAGCGUUAAUCGGAAUUACUGGGCGUAAAGCGAGCGCAGGCGGUUAUGUAAGACAGAUGUGAAAUCCCCGGGCUUAACCUGGGAACUGCAUUUGUGACUGCAUGGCUAGGGUGCGUCAGAGGGGGGUGGAAUUCCACGUGUAGCAGUGAAGUGCGUAGAGAUGUGGAGGAACACCGAUGGCGAAGGCAGCCCCCUGGGAUGACACUGACGCUCAUGCU
This 647-nucleotide ribosomal RNA is filed under the name uncultured bacterium. Its description in RNAcentral is "bacterial SSU rRNA". It matches the Rfam family "Bacterial small subunit ribosomal RNA", at positions 110 to 753 of the family's 1533-position model. The record is from RNAcentral.